Molecule: long non-coding RNA, 211 nt
Filed under: Solanum tuberosum (potato)
Lineage: Eukaryota; Viridiplantae; Streptophyta; Magnoliopsida; Solanales; Solanaceae
Description: long non-coding RNA (STUB_LNC011386)
Source: RNAcentral
UUGUGUGUACUCUCAUGACUUGUUGAUGUGUUUGUAUUAUUGCUUGGAAUCAUUGAGUUUCUCUUUUUUGCAAUUGGUGUUUGGAUUAAGGUUAAGUUUUCAGUGUUAGCUUCAUCUCAUUGAAAGGACAAAACAACCUUCUAAUAGAUGGUGUUAAUAUUUUAUUUUUUAUAAGUUCAUUAUUCAACUUUAUAAAAAGAUAUGCAUCUCC